AAUUUCUCAAGCUUGGAUGGCAAUUUUUGUCUUUCCUUAGUUUGGUUUGUUGGGCUUUGCCGUGUCCCUUCAUUGGGACGGCUGGCCUUAAAAGCAUUAGCUGAUCCUCGUGUGGAACUGGUUCUACUCAGCGUGAUAACAGUCUGAUCGCUGAGGACAUCUUUCGAGAUGGCCAGCCCUCAUUUGGAUUGCUUCUAAAACCUGGUCUUGCAGAUUGUUUGAUCUGUAUUCCAAUUUUCAG
This 241-nucleotide unclassified non-coding RNA is filed under the name uncultured Clavulina. RNAcentral's name for it is "sequence contains ITS2". Lineage: Eukaryota; Fungi; Basidiomycota; Agaricomycetes; Cantharellales; Hydnaceae. The record is from RNAcentral.